RNAcentral lists this long non-coding RNA (402 nucleotides) under Rattus norvegicus (Norway rat). RNAcentral describes it as "long non-coding RNA NONRATT015177". Lineage: Eukaryota; Metazoa; Chordata; Mammalia; Rodentia; Muridae. The record is from RNAcentral.
UGAGUAGCUGGGAAGGUGAGGGCUGCUUCGCGGCUGAGUGUGCUCUAUGGACCAUGUGCUGCUAUGGAUGCCUGAAGUACUUGACCUGCAGGUUGGGAAGACUCAGCCAUCUCCAUGCUGGGCUGGAUUAAGUGCCUGAUGAGGAUGUGGUUUCAGCGAGUUGGGGUCAGCAUGCAGUCGGUUCUGUGGUCUGGAAAACCAUAUGGUUCAUCUCGAAGUAUUGUAAGGAAAAUUGGUACCAACUUAUCUCUGAUUCAGUGUCCAAGAGUUCAAUUUCAGCUUACCAGCCAUGCAACAGAAUGGAGUCCCACGCACCCAGGAGAGGAUGUGGUGGCAACUUUUGCUGAUGUUGGAUGGGUAGCCACCGAUGAAGGAGAAUGCUCAACAAGACUCAGGACAGAA